Molecule: ribosomal RNA, 269 nt
Filed under: uncultured bacterium
Lineage: Bacteria
Description: partial 16S ribosomal RNA
Rfam family: Bacterial small subunit ribosomal RNA
Source: RNAcentral
UACAGAGGGUGCGAGCGUUGUUCGGAAUUAUUGGGCGUAAAGGGCGCGUAGGCGGUGCGGUAAGUCACCUGUGAAAUCUCCUGGCUCAACUGGGAGCUUGCAGGCGAAACUGCCGUGCUGGAGUGUGGGAGAGGUGCGUGGAAUUCCUGGUGUAGCGGUGAAAUGCGUAGAUAUCGGGAGGAACACCUGUGGCGAAAGCGGCUCACUGGACCGCUAACUGACGCUGAGGCGCGAAAGCUAAGGGGAGCAAACAGGGGAUUAAGAAACCC